RNAcentral lists this ribosomal RNA (486 nucleotides) under uncultured eukaryote. RNAcentral describes it as "eukaryotic LSU rRNA". It matches the Rfam family "Eukaryotic large subunit ribosomal RNA", at positions 552 to 1025 of the family's 3401-position model. The record is from RNAcentral.
UCAGUGCGUAGGAGAACAAAGUUCUGCUUGUACGAAGGUGAAUACUACUUGGAACAUCAGUUGCUGGUUUCGCGUUGUGGCGAAUGGUUUCUUCCACCCGUCUUGAAACACGGACCAAGGAGUCUAACAUAUAUGCGAGUAUUAGGCUGACAAAGCCUGAUGCGUAAUGAAAGUAAAGCUGAUAAAGCUAGGUAGGAAUCUCGCCCUCGGGUGGGAGGCACUAUCGACCGAUCGUUCGCUUGCGGAAGAUUUGAGUAAGAGCAUAUAUGUUGGGACCCGAAAGAUGGUGAUCUAUGCCUGAACAGGGUGAAGCCAGGGGAAACUCUGGUGGAAGCUCGUAGCGAUACUGACGUGCAAAUCGUUCGUCUGAUUUGGGUAUAGGGGCGAAAGACUAAUCGAACCAUCUAGUAGCUGGUUCCCCUCCGAAGUUUCCCUCAGGAUAGCUGGAACUCACUCAGUUUUUAUCAGGUAAAGCUAAUGAUUAGU